Molecule: non-coding RNA, 4210 nt
Organism: Aegilops tauschii subsp. strangulata
Lineage: Eukaryota; Viridiplantae; Streptophyta; Magnoliopsida; Poales; Poaceae
Source: RefSeq, a predicted model, not a curated record
AAUCACUUCCUUCGCGGUUCGAACAAUUCGCCCGAGACGAGACGGGGAUGCCUCCGCGGGCGCCGCCGCCGGCGGCGUUCCCGUCCCUGGACGCCUACUACCUCCACCACCUCCGCUCCUGCUCGACGCCGCGCCACGCCGCCGCCGUCCACGCCCACGUCGUCCGUGCCCACCCCUUCCCUUCCCUCUUCCUCCGCAACACGCUCCUCGCCGCGUACUGCCGCCUCGGCGGCCCCGCGCGCCGCCUGCUCGACGAAAUGCCCCGCGCCAACGCCGUCUCCUUCAACCUCCUCAUCGACGCCUACUCCCGCUCCGGACAGGCAGACGCCUCUCUCGAGACCUUCACGCGCGCUCGCCAUUCCGUGGGCGUCAAGGCCGACCGGUUCACGUACGCGGCCGCGCUCGCCGCGUGCUCGCGGGCCGGGCGCCUGAGGGAGGGCAAGGCCGUGCACGCGCUGGCCGUCCUCGAGGGGCUCACCGGGGGCGUGUUCGUCUCCAACUCGCUCGUUAGCAUGUACGCCAGGUGUGGCGACAUGGGCCAGGCGAGGCGGGUGUUUGACGCCGCCCAGGAGCGGGACGACGUCUCGUGGAACGCGCUGGUCUCUGGCUACGUGCGUGCUGGCGCGCAUGAUGACAUGCUCAGGGUGUUUGCUCUGAUGCGCCGUUCUGGGAUUGGCUUGAAUUCUUUCGCUCUUGGCAGUGUCAUCAAGUGCUGCGCUGGCAGCGAUGACUCUGUGAGGGAUAUUGCCGCGGCCGUUCAUGGGUGCGUGGUGAAGGCUGGGUUGGACUCCGACGUGUUUCUUGCGAGCGCGAUGGUUGACAUGUAUGCCAAGAAGGGCGCAUUGAGUGAAGCUGUUGCGCUCUUCAAGUCGGUGCAUGAUCCCAAUGUGGUUGUGUUCAAUGCCAUGAUUGCGGGGCUGUGUCGUGAUGGGGCUGCUGUCGGUAUGGAUGUCCUGAGAGAAGCGCUAUGUCUGUAUUCCGAGGUGCAGAGUCAAGGAAUGGAGCCUACCGAGUUCACAUUCUCCAGCGUCAUAAGAGCUUGUAACUUGGCAGGUGACCUUGAAUUCGGAAAACAGAUACACGGGCAAGUGAUCAAGUACUGUUUCCAGGGAGAUGACUUCAUUGGGAGCCCACUCAUUGACCUGUACUUCAACUCUGGCUGCAUGGAAGAUGGGUUCAGGUGUUUCAGAUCUCUUCCGAAGCAAGAUGUCGUCACGUGGACAGCGAUGAUUUCUGGGUGUGUUCAGAAUGAGCUUUUCGAGAGGGCACUGACCCUGUUCCAUGAAUUAUUAGCUGCUGGACUGAAACCUGACCCUUUCACUAUAUCGACAGUGAUGAAUGCUUGUGCCAGUUUGGCUGUUGCAAGGACUGGUGAGCAGAUUCAGUGCUUUGCCACAAAAUCUGGAUUUGGUCGGUUCACUGCCAUUGGAAACUCCUGCAUACAUAUGUAUGCUAGAUCAGGGGAUGUUGAUGCUGCAGUCCGGAGGUUUCAGGAGAUGGAAUUACACGAUGUUGUGUCUUGGUCUGCUAUAAUAUCAAGCCAUGCACAGCAUGGCUGUGCUAGGGAGGCUUUACGGUUUUUCAGUGAAAUGGUAGAUGCAAAGGUGGUGCCAAAUGAGAUUACUUUUCUCGGUGUCCUUACUGCAUGUAGCCAUGGAGGAUUGGUUGAUGAGGGACUCAGGUAUUACGAAAUCAUGCAAGAGGAAUACGCGUUGAGCCCAACCAUCAAGCAUUGCACAUGUGUUGUCGACCUUCUUGGUCGAGCUGGGAGACUAGGUGAUGCUGAGGCUUUUAUAAGGGAUUCAAUCUUCCAUGAUGAACCUGUCAUCUGGCGGUCUUUGCUAGCAUCAUGUCGUAUCCAUCGAGACAUGGAGAGAGGUCAACUUGUUGCAGAUAGGAUAAUGGAACUACAACCCAGUUCCUCAGCAUCCUAUGUAAAUCUCUACAACAUUUACCUGGAUGCUGGGGAGCUCUCCCUAGCUUCAAAAAUUAGAGAUGUGAUGAAAGAGCGAGGCGUGAAGAAAGAACCUGGUCUGAGUUGGAUUGAACUAAGGUCUGGGGUUCACUCUUUUGUUGCCGGUGACAAGUCCCAUCCAGAGAGCAACACAAUAUACUCGAAACUGGCAGAGAUGCUUUCCAAGAUUGAUAAACUGACAGCCACUGAUACUUCCGGCACAAAGUCAGAUGACAUCACUAGAAACGAGCAAAGUUGGAUGAAUUGGCACAGUGAGAAACUAGCUGUGGCAUUAGGAUUAAUUCAUUUACCGCAGCCAGCACCUAUACGAGUAAUGAAGAACUUGAGAGUCUGCCGUGACUGCCAUUUAGCUAUGAAAUUGAUAUCGAAGAGUGAAAACAGAGAAAUAAUCUUGAGAGAUGCGAUUCGCUUCCACCACUUCAGAGAUGGCUCAUGUUCUUGUGCGGAUUACUGGUAGUGGCUACUAUGCUAGUGCAGUGGUUCCGAAGGAAGAAAGGCGCCUUCAACUCCUCAAAAGCGGCCUCCUCCAAACUGAAUGGUUGAGUCCACUGAACCAUCUCCAAGGAAUCGGGCUGAUUCUCCAAUUCGUCAUUGACCAGAUCCAUCCCCUGCUAGGCAUGUUGACAGAAGACCAGUAUCUCCAAUCAGAAGAUGUUCUCUCCUUCACCGCCUACAAGGCAUACGUCGCCAAUGCGGUGGGUUUGUGGCAGCUCACCACCUCGUAGAUACUCACCUGGGCCUCUUAGAAGGUGCUGGUUAAGGAGAUUGACGAGCCCUUCGAGAAGGUCACCACCACCACCUCCUCCAAGUCGUCAUAGUCGCUCCCCUCCUCUUCACUCGCACCAGAUCAAUUUCUCCAUAUAGAACCAGAGGACUUCCUACACUGGGGCUGGCGUGGAAUGUGAGAUUCAUCCAAGUCUGCAUCACCCAGUCCUCCGAGGAAGAAGGAGCAUCUCAAGCGACAGUGGGAGUAGCAGCGCCCACCUUCCCGGAGGCAUAGGUACUCGAAGGAAACUUGGGGCAAACUGGGGAUAUCCCGGCCCAAAACAGGCCUGCUAAAUGGCUCCGUGGGGAUAUUUUUACAGUCUUGUUGAAGUUACUAACAGCAAAGUACUCAAAAUAAAUGAUGCAAACUUAUGGAAGUCGUAGACCAGCUGACAUGCAAUGAAUACAACUACUGGUUUCUUCAGCAACAAAGAGUUGAUGGAGGGGUUAAUACUGCAUGACACAAGCAUGGUAUAGGCUGCAUAAUGGCAAGAUAUCAUGUCCUUAUAAAUUCAACCGCCCAGGACAAAACUUUGUAUCCAAGUCCCAAAUGGUUACUAUAGGAACAGAGCAAAAUAGGACUCUUAAAUGACAGAAAAUGGACAUUGCCAAACUUGUACAAAGUAUACAACGCACAAAAUAAUCCAAGGAUCAACGACAAAUGCACAGAACUGGGAAAGAAACUGGACGUGAAUGCAUUGUUUAGUGAGCAAGUGGAAAAAUAUAAUAAAGAAAAUAGUUCAUGACAGCAAAUCUAGUUGUUCUGACGCCAUACUAAAGAGCACAUUAUAUACAGUAUCGCUUAAUAAUUAGUAGUUGUCAUUCACCAGAAAGUUUGGAAACAGUAAACAACUAAGAAUGUGAAAUGGAAAGUAUGAUAAGAAUACAGAGGCAAAAGAGUCGUGUUCAAUCGUGACAUAUAUAAAUAAGCAGCAGGAUGAGUGUAACAUAGACAUGUUAAUUGGUAAGUACUCAUGAGAAUUACCCAGUGGUGCUAAUUACGGUUCAGUAUACUACUCCUUCAGGACACCAUGCAGAAAAUUUAGCACAGACUAAACAACAUCAAUGAGCACAUUCUUCUUCUCAAAGAAAAGUGUGAAUUGUUAUAGCAUAGAUCAUAACUGUUUCCAAACAACAAUGAGGGCCAUAAAAGGUCCAACCUAGUGUAGCUUAUACAUGUAAAUAGAAAAAGAAGAAAGCAUCACAGCGACUACAUACCUUAUUCUUCGUGUUUUUUGAUAGUUGAUCCCGGACAUCUCGUUCUUCCAAAUAAAAUGUGAAACCAAACAAAAACAAUUCAGCUUCAGUGUUCAUCGAUGUGGCGGUGGCUAUAUUGUUUGUAUGCCAUAAUUAAGUGAAUCUCGGCAAACAAUCAUCUAAUUAGCUAACAAAAAAUGUCCAAAAAACUAGCAAGCAAAAUUACAUGGCUAUAUGUUCUUAGCAACAGGAGGGGAGCAUUUAAAAUCUAGA